GAUGAACGCUGGCGGCGUGCCUAAUACAUGCAAGUCGAGCGAACGGACGAGAAGCUUGCCUCUCUGCUGUUAGCGGCGGACGGGUGAGUAACACGUGGAUACCCUAUCUAUAAGACUGGGAUACCUUCGGGAAACCGGAGCUAAUAUCGGAUAAUAUUUUGAACCGCAUGGUUCAAAAGUGAAAGACGGUCUUGCUGUCACUUAUAGAUGGAUCCGCGCUGCAUUAGCUAGUUGGUAAGGUAACGGCUUACCAAGGCAACGAUGCAUAGCCGACCUGAGAGGGUGAUCGGCCACACUGGAACUGAGACACGGUCCAGACUCCUACGGGAGGCAGCAGUAGGGAAUCUUCGGCAAUGGGCGAAAGCCUGACGGAGCAACGCCGCGUGAGUGAUGAAGGUCUUCGGAUCGUAAAACUCUGUUAUUAGGGAGGAACAUAUGUGUAAGUAACUGUGCACAUCUUGACGGUACCUAAUCAGAAAGCCACGGCUAACUACGUG
RNAcentral lists this ribosomal RNA (497 nucleotides) under uncultured bacterium. Its description in RNAcentral is "partial 16S ribosomal RNA". It matches the Rfam family "Bacterial small subunit ribosomal RNA", at positions 28 to 507 of the family's 1533-position model. The record is from RNAcentral.